AAAGGGUGCGUAGGCGGCUUUUUAAGUCAGGGGUGAAAGACGGUAGCUCAACUAUCGCAGUGCCCUUGAUACUGAAGAGCUUGAAUGGACUAGAGGUAGGCGGAAUGUGACAAGUAGCGGUGAAAUGCAUAGAUAUGUCACAGAACACCGAUUGCGAAGGCAGCUUACUAUGGUUUUAUUGACGCUGAGGCACGAAAGCGUGGGGAUCAAACAGGAUUAGAUACCCGAGU
Molecule: ribosomal RNA, 230 nt
Filed under: uncultured bacterium
Lineage: Bacteria
Description: partial 16S ribosomal RNA
Rfam family: Bacterial small subunit ribosomal RNA
Source: RNAcentral